UACAGAGGGUGCGAGCGUUGUCCGGAAUCACUGGGCGUAAAGGGCGCGUAGGUGGCGCUGCAAGUCGGUGGUGAAAGCUCGUCGCUUAACGGCGAGUCGGCCAUCGAAACUGCAGGGCUCGAGCACUGUAGGGGCUAAUGGAAUUCCGGGUGUAGCGGUGGAAUGCGUAGAGAUCCGGAGGAACACCAGCGGCGAAGGCGGCAUCCUGGACUGGUCCUGACACUCAUGAGCGAAAGCGUGGGGAGCGAUCCGG
RNAcentral lists this ribosomal RNA (253 nucleotides) under uncultured bacterium. RNAcentral's name for it is "partial 16S ribosomal RNA". It matches the Rfam family "Bacterial small subunit ribosomal RNA", at positions 524 to 776 of the family's 1533-position model. The record is from RNAcentral.